RNAcentral lists this ribosomal RNA (355 nucleotides) under Zygometra microdiscus. RNAcentral describes it as "partial 16S ribosomal RNA". It matches the Rfam family "Bacterial large subunit ribosomal RNA", at positions 2100 to 2626 of the family's 2925-position model. Lineage: Eukaryota; Metazoa; Echinodermata; Crinoidea; Comatulida; Himerometridae. The record is from RNAcentral.
UUAAGAAAAUUUUUAUAAUAAAUACCAUUAGAUAAAUAAUAAAUCAUAUUACUAUAUAAUUUAAAUAAAAAUAUCUUUGGUUGGGGCAACCACGAAGAAAAAAAAACCUUCGUUAAAAAAAAGAAAUUUACAAAUUUAAAAAUCAUUAAAAAUUCCUUAAAGAUCCAGAAAAUUCUGAUCAAAGAAAAAAGUUACCGCAGGGAUAACAGCGUUAUUCUCUUUAAGAGCCCUUAUUGACAAGAGAGUUUGCGACCUCGAUGUUGGAUCGGGGCACCCAAGAGGUGUAGCAGCCUCUAAAGGUAGGUCUGUUCGACCUUUAAAGCCCUACGUGAUCUGAGUUCAGACCGACGCAAGU